UGGGGAAUAUUGCACAAUGGGCGGAAGCCUGAUGCAGCAACGCCGCGUGAGGGAUGACGGCCUUCGGGUUGUAAACCUCUUUUAGCAGGGAAGAAGCGAGAGUGACGGUACCUGCAGAAAAAGCACCGGCUAACUACGUGCCAGCAGCCGCGGUAAUACGUAGGGUGCAAGCGUUAUCCGGAAUUAUUGGGCGUAAAGAGCUCGUAGGCGGUUUGUCGCGUCUGCUGUGAAAUCCCGAGGCUCAACCUCGGGCCUGCAGUGGGUACGGGCAGACUAGAGUGCGGUAGGGGAGAUUGGAAUUCCUGGUGUAGCGGUGGAAUGCGCAGAUAUCAGGAGGAACACCGAUGGCGAAGGCAGAUCUCUGGGCCGUAACUGACGCUGAGGAGCGAAAGGGUGGGGAGCAAACA
This 407-nucleotide ribosomal RNA is filed under the name uncultured bacterium. RNAcentral's name for it is "bacterial SSU rRNA". It matches the Rfam family "Bacterial small subunit ribosomal RNA", at positions 355 to 774 of the family's 1533-position model. The record is from RNAcentral.